CCCUGCCCUUUGUACACACCGCCCGUCGCAACUACCGAUUGAAUGGCUCAGUGAGGCCUUCGGACUGGCCCAGGGAGGUCGGCAACGACCACCCCGGGCCGGAAAGUUGGUCAAACUCGGUCAUUUAGAGG
Molecule: ribosomal RNA, 131 nt
Filed under: Capnodiales sp.
Lineage: Eukaryota; Fungi; Ascomycota; Dothideomycetes; Capnodiales
Description: partial small subunit ribosomal RNA
Rfam family: Eukaryotic small subunit ribosomal RNA
Source: RNAcentral